RNAcentral lists this transfer RNA (70 nucleotides) under Ovis aries (sheep). It matches the Rfam family "tRNA". Rfam says of the family: Transfer RNA (tRNA) molecules are approximately 80 nucleotides in length. The record is from Rfam by way of RNAcentral. Lineage: Eukaryota; Metazoa; Chordata; Mammalia; Artiodactyla; Bovidae.
GAUCAUUUAGCUCAGUCGAAAGAAUCUGCCUGCAAUGCAGAAGACGCAGGUUCGAUUCCUGGUUUGGGCA